GUGACGUAAUAAAUGGAGAUAAUUUUCACAAAAUUACACCAUGGAGGAUCCUUUUCUAAUACGGGUGUCCCUACAUAUGUUGCAAGUUGUGUGCCAGAGGUAAGGGUCUUGUUCCUGUUUUGAUGGAUCUGCUACCAAAUGCUGAGAGAAGAAUAUGUGCUAGACAUAUUUGGAGCAAUUGACAUAUGCACUGGAAAGGAGAAGAUAGAAGGAAACAGUUUUGGAGAUGUGCAAAAGCAAACUUUGAAGUAAUGUUCAGAGAGGAGAUGCAAGCAAUGUCAAGGAUAGGUAAGAAAGAAAUAACUGAGGACAUGCUGAUUAAUUCUCCUACUUCUUGGUGUAGGGCAUAUUUCAAAACACAUUCCAAAUGUGAUAUUAUAAAAAAAUAAUAUGUGUGAGACUUUCAAUUCUUGGAUCUUAGCUGCUAGACAUAAGUCCAUAAUCACAAUGUUAGAGGAUAUCAGGCAUCAACUGAUGAAUAGACAUGUAGAUAUGAUCAAAUUUGCAGAAACAUGGAUUUCAGAUGUUACACCUAUGGCAAGAACUAUUUUAGAAGAUAACAAGGAAUAUUCAAAUAGGUGUAGAGUACUAUGGAAUGGAGUUAAUGGUUUUGAAAUUGAGGAUGAGGUUUACACAUUUGUUGUUCACUUGGACAAAAAGUAUUGUGAUUGUAGGUCAUGGAUGUUAAGAGGUAUUUCUUGUCCUCAUGCCAUUUGUACUUAUUAUUACUUGAAUGAAGAUCCAGAUCAGCAUGUAGAGCACUGGUAAAGGAAAGAAACCUUUCUUAAGUCUUAUAGCCAUUUCAUUCAACCAAUUACCAAUAUGAGAAUGUGGCUGGAAACUAGAAAUCCAUCACUUGAACCUCCAAAAUCAAGAAAGAUGCCAGACAGACCUGGUAAGAACAGAAAGAAGAAGAAGGAUGAGCCAAAAAAGGGGACAAACUCUCAAAAAAAGGUGUCAAGAUCACCUGUUCAAGGUAUAAGCAAGUUGUCCAUAACAAGACUGUGUGUGCCAAAAUGAAUGGGAUGGGGAGCAGUAAUAGUAGUCAACUUAGUACUCAGCCUGCAGCUUCAUGGAAUCCACUUACCCCACACUUAAGUUCUAUUUGUGGUCACACCAGUGCAAUGGCAAGACAUACCUAUACUUAAAGUCAGGCAACAAGAUCAAGCUCCAUAUUUCAUACCUGUGCAACUACAUAAUCCAGUCAAUCAAGAUCUAUUUAUGCUGACAAACUGUUGUGCCAAGAGCACCUCAAAGAAAGGUGUCAAGUAUUGCUAGUAGAGGUCAAGGUACUGCUGGUAGAGGUAAAGGUUGUUCUGGUAGGGAUGGUGGUUCUGGUAGUGGUGGUCAAUGUGGUGCUGAUAGGAGAGGUGAAACAGGAAUUGGUAUAGGUCAAGGAGGGAGUGGUAGAGGAUUGACAAGAAAAAUAGCUAAUGCAAGAGGGACCCCAUUUGAAAGUGGAAGAAAUGCUUUUUUCAGUCAAUUACCACCUUUGUCAACCAACAAGAGGCCAUACAAUGCUACCUCAUUUGCUGCUGCUACUGGAUACAAAAGGCCUGCAAUUGGUUUUGGUGUUUACUUUGAUCCAACAACUGGAGCCCAAGUGUAUAAU
Long non-coding RNA from Capsicum annuum, 1612 nucleotides. RefSeq lists it as uncharacterized. NCBI's taxonomy places the organism in Eukaryota, Viridiplantae, Streptophyta, Magnoliopsida, Solanales, Solanaceae. The transcript has 4 exons. The record is from RefSeq and is a predicted model, not a curated record.